RNAcentral lists this ribosomal RNA (436 nucleotides) under Klebsiella pneumoniae. Its description in RNAcentral is "partial 23S ribosomal RNA". It matches the Rfam family "Bacterial large subunit ribosomal RNA", at positions 2388 to 2823 of the family's 2925-position model. Lineage: Bacteria; Pseudomonadati; Pseudomonadota; Gammaproteobacteria; Enterobacterales; Enterobacteriaceae. The record is from RNAcentral.
CGCGAGCAGGUGCGAAAGCAGGUCAUAGUGAUCCGGUGGUUCUGAAUGGAAGGGCCAUCGCUCAACGGAUAAAAGGUACUCCGGGGAUAACAGGCUGAUACCGCCCAAGAGUUCAUAUCGACGGCGGUGUUUGGCACCUCGAUGUCGGCUCAUCACAUCCUGGGGCUGAAGUAGGUCCCAAGGGUAUGGCUGUUCGCCAUUUAAAGUGGUACGCGAGCUGGGUUUAGAACGUCGUGAGACAGUUCGGUCCCUAUCUGCCGUGGGCGCUGGAGAAUUGAGGGGGGCUGCUCCUAGUACGAGAGGACCGGAGUGGACGCAUCACUGGUGUUCGGGUUGUCAUGCCAAUGGCACUGCCCGGUAGCUAAAUGCGGAAGAGAUAAGUGCUGAAAGCAUCUAAGCACGAAACUUGCCCCGAGAUGAGUUCUCCCUGAGACUU